Cercocebus atys (sooty mangabey) is the source of this 3486-nucleotide RNA transcript. RefSeq lists it as uncharacterized. The record is from RefSeq and is a predicted model, not a curated record. Lineage: Eukaryota; Metazoa; Chordata; Mammalia; Primates; Cercopithecidae. The transcript has 6 exons.
UCAGCAGCACUCAAGGCAGCGCCCGGGAACUUCUGAUACCAAACUCCGCAAACAGUGACGCAGACCCCAUGCUUGCAGACCACACGCUUCCAUACAGACCUCAGCUGCCAAGCGCACUGUGAGCCCCACAGGUGGACCACCGUGAAGGUAGAGGCGCUACACGGCCCCACGCACUCCGCAGACCCAGCAUCGCGACCUCGGCAGCCCACCCCACCCAACCGGGUCCGCCGCGGCGGCCAGGCGGCAGGCAGCAAGCGUUUGGCCUGCGGAGAGGCAAGCGGUUCAGCCAGCUCCCCUGAGCCUGCCCAGGAAGCUGCGCAUCACCCCUCAGGAGAGGUGGUGCCUCCAGUUCCACCCUAAGCACCGUGCCAUCAACCCCUCCUGUAUCUGCAUCUGCAGGGCUUGUAGUAUGUACGUUCAAUUCCUUCAGCAAUGUUCAAUGAAUGAGCGCCUACUGUGUACCAAGCGCUGUUCUAGGCACGGGAGAUACAAAAGGCCAAAAUUCCUGCUCUCAGGGUUUGCCAGCAGUCUAAAUGGACAAGUAUUUGUUGCACCCUUCUUUAGAGUCUGACACUGCAGAGCAGGGGAGAUGAAUCGCUGCAGUGAGUGAUGUCAAGGACCUCAUCCAAGACUAGGGAGACACCAUGUUUGCAUAAAUACCUUGAUCUGCCUUUGAGAAAAACAUGGAGUGAGUUAAAGGAAUUCAGAUGUGGGAGCAGUGAAAGGCAUCAGAGAUUAGUAAAAUAACAAGAUGGGUGCAGUUACUUUCCUUCAGGAUCAGAGUCAGCGUGGCAUUUGCUAAAGACAAAGUGGUGCUUCUAACAAGCCAAAGAGCUCGAGAGGUUCCAAUCUGCCCCUUAGAGCCAUAGGCUACACACAGUGACUUCUUUCCAGAGUGCAGUUUGUAAGGGUGGUAGGGAUAGAGUCACUUUACGGUGAAGAAUCCUGACAAACACCACCUCAACCAGAUGAUCAAGGCCACAUUAUCAGUGAUUAAUCAUGUUGGUAUUACAAACUCUGGACAUUAUGAAUACAACAAAUACAAUAUGACUCUGAAAGGCAGAGAGAAGGAGGCAGACUGGCUAGGGACCUGGGACAUGAGGAACGACAGAGCAACAUCAGAAGAAUGAUGUUUCAUUCAGAAAGGAGAAUGUUUUUGGCAGAGUGAAGAGCGUGUUGCAGGGUCUGUGGCAGGAAAGCGUAGAGCAUGUUCCAGAGCAUGUAAAGAAUGUUACAGAGAAUGAAGGAAAAAAGAAAAAGCAGACAGAAGAGAGAGGACACACAGGGGUUUUUAAAAAAGUAUUUUAUAUAAUAAUAUGAACCAACCUAAAGCACACAAUGUCUAACACAAAGUAAAUGUCAAUACAUGCUCUACCCUUAAGUAGCAAAUGUCCCUGCAUGGCCAAACACUGAAGCCUUGCAUGUGUAAAUGUUUAAAAAUGUCCAAAGCUUUCAUUACAUAACUACCGUCUAUGACAUCCACAGACUAUCCAAAAUGGCAUUGUUCACUUUUAUAAAAAUAGACGUUAAAUGAUUUUUCUGUGAGUUAGCAUCCCAACAUCUAGACCUGCAAUGGAUCCAGGAUGUUAUGUCUUGGGUGGGGGUAGCUGGAAGGGGAGGUACAGAAGGAUUAUCUCAGACAGUGUACAGAUAUUCUGUAACUCUUACAAAUUACACUCAAAGUUGUCACACAAAUUGACGUGAUAUGGCAUUCUAGUCCAAAAUCCUUGCAUAAUUGGGCACAGGAUAAUUUGUCUAAAUCCUUUGGUAUGCACUGGUUUAAUUUAAAUAACCUUUUGUAAAAUAGGUUUCCUUCCAUUUUAUACAUAUUCAUGAAGACAUGCUGUCAGCAUUGAAAGAUAGCCGAGCAGAAUAAAGUCCUAUCACACUGACAAGACAAUUUCCUUGGGUAAUGUAAUCAGAUAGUACAGCUGCAUUCCUUGUUAAUCUGAAUUUAGUUCAAAUAGCUAAAGAGCUUUAUUCACUUUGUGAUAAAAAUUAUACACUUGCAAAAUAAGUUUUGGACAAUUCACAUAAAUUUAUUUUUGUAAUAAUUAUUUAUUGCAAGAGACUUUUAAAAAAUACAUUGAAGUGGCAUUAGAUCAAGAAGAAAUAACCUGAUUUCUGAAACUGUACUUCAUCAAAUGUACUAGGCUUCCAUAAUAGCAGUAUUAGGGUGUCUGCUUGGUUAAUUAUGCAGGUUUUUACUUUAUUUUUUGCCUUACUUGGAAAAUUUACCAACAUAAUUUUUCAACACACUUUUUAAGCCAGAUCAUUUUAAACGAGAUUCCUUUAUCUAAUCCUUAAGACUGAGUGACAAGAGGAGACAGAAAGGAAGGAGGCUUUAACGCUAAUUUGCCUAGGAUUAUUUUUUAGCAUGAAAAUUGGACAACUGAUGAUAUAGGGCAGUGUUUCUCAGAUGUAUCAGAUCAUGAGACUUAACUGCAAUGCUUGUUUAAAAUUAUGGAAUCCCAGGUCUCAUUCCUACAGGUUCUGAUUCCUGAGGUUUGGGAUGUGUCUUAGGAAUGUGUAUUAUAUUAAAAGCACUUAUUGAGUGCAGUGUAGGAAAUACGUGGCAUCAUUGAAAGAACUUUGACCUAGUCUUAGUGUUCAAAACACCAGUUCUUCUGUGCGUGCUUACCUGAGUCAUGUAAUCUCACUGGGUCUAAAUCUCCUCAGUUGCAAAGGUACAAAAACAACAAAAAACAAAAAGAGUUUGGCCGUAGUCCACAAACCCCAUGAAGACAGGCGCCAGGCAGAUUUUGUUCACUGCCUGAUCCCCUGCACCUAGCCUGCUGCCUGUCACAGAGCAGUCUCUCUGUUAGUAUUUGUCGACUAAUUCACUAUAUGGAUGAGCUACAAAGCUCUUCUUGGCUCUAAGAUUAUAUGACUUUAAAACGAAGAAGUAAUAAAUGCAUUUGGUCUGCCAAUUACAAAAUAAUAAUUAUUCUCAAAAAUAAAACAAGAUAUAAACUGAAAAAGGCCCUGCUUGUUUUUACUGGUUUCCGGGCUGCACAUUCCUGGUGAGCAUUUCAAAGGAUGUGAGUUGAGUAAUUUGAUUUUAUGUCUUCCUUACUGGACUGUGACUGUUAAAGGUAAUGCAAUUCAUUACUGUGUUAACACAAUGUUUAGUUCACAGUGUAUGCUCAGUAAAAGUAAGUGGAAUCUGGAAAACUCAGUAAAUUCUAUGGAGAAUGAUGCAGAAGAAUGUAAGUUCUCUUGCUCUGUGGACAGGUAUACUUAGUCACACCAUUACUUUUAGGACUUUGCUUAUUUUAGUCCUGAAGCAUACGUUAAGCAACAAAUCCAGAAUUGUCAGAAAUGUUCCCUGGCACAAGUAGAUUGUGCAGAAGUGAGUGUUAAAAACUGAUUAUGAAGGAAAAAUAAAUCCUGAAAACUCUAUUUAUAAAAGGCUGGUCACAGUUGCUCACACCUCUAAUCCCAGCACUUUAGGAGGUGAGGCAAUCUGAUCACUUGAGGUCAGGA